UACGGGGGGGGUAAGCGUUGUUCGGAAUUACUGGGCGUAAAGGGCUCGUAGGCGGCCAACUAAGUCAUACGUGAAAUCCCUCAGCUUAACUGGGGAACUGCGUGUGAUACUGGAUGGCUUGGAUGUGGGAGAGGGAUGCGGAAUUCCAGGUGUAGCGGUGAAAUGCGUAGAUAUCUGGAGGAACACCGGUGGCGAAGGCGGCAUCCUGGACCAACACUGACGCUGAGGAGCGAAAGCCAGGGGAGCAAACGGG
This 253-nucleotide ribosomal RNA is filed under the name uncultured bacterium. RNAcentral describes it as "partial 16S ribosomal RNA". It matches the Rfam family "Bacterial small subunit ribosomal RNA", at positions 524 to 776 of the family's 1533-position model. The record is from RNAcentral.